AGAAAUGUAUAUGCAUUGGAAAUGCAUGAAGUCAUCACAUUUACCUGAGUAGACAAAUUGUAGAGUCCCACAUCAGUGUAAGAGUAAGGUAGUGGGGAGUCAUUAAUUUGUUUCUCUGGUUUAUUUUCCUAAGAUUUGGGACUUAGAAAGCAUUUUCUCAUACAGUGCUCCAAAUGGUGAGUGGGUUCACAGGCUAGAUGGGGAUGUUAUACUAUAGAAGGUACUAGGCCUCUAAUUCCAGCUUCCAGGGUACUUGUAGUUAAUAUCCCCAAAAUGUAAGGCUGUGCUGGUAGUUUGAGACUCUAAUCACUGUUUAACCAUGGGUUUUUUUUAUUUUGUUUUGUUUGAAAUACAUUCAGACAUCCAAUUUGGGAGGUCAGAAACACACUUCCCCUCUAUUGUAGUUAUAUGGCGCGUACCCACCACCUCACCUCUCCUACCUUCCUCAUACUGGGAGACAAGUCUUCCCCAGAGUUUUGGAUCUCGGCAGGCGGACAUGCCAUCUUACACACUACCCUCGACUGAAUGUGAAACAACCUGAGAAACACAGACUAUUCAAUGGGAGAAGGGAGAAGAGAGAAGAGGAGUGAAGGAGGUAGAUAAAAAUCCCCCUUGGCUAUGGAGAAAAGGCCGAGGGUUUCAGUUCCCUUGUCUGAGGCAAAGAUGGCACAGAGCCCCAGGAAUAGGCUUAAAAUAGUGAUCCUGGCAGGGAUACAAGACUUCUGAGAUUGAUCAGAAAAGCUUCCGGCUUAUGAGAUCUCCAGUGUCUUUUUUCAGCCAGCAACUGGAAUAGCAGGGCUCAUCCUAUCACCACUCAAAAAGUAUUUGGGGCUUGUGUUUUGGAUCCAGCUGUUUAAGAAGAAUGACUGAGAAGGAAAUUAGGCCAUAAUUCUAGAAGCCAGAAAACUUUUGGUGGCAAUUUGGAGAAAUAUUAAAUGAAAAUAUCUUCAACUAGGAGUGAAGAAAGCUCUGGAAGGAAUGUGGAACAGUGAAAGAAGAGAAAAGCUUUACCUUGAUAGAAUCAGGACCACCAACGGACCUUUUCUGUCUCUAGCUUGGAACCUGGGAUCAGAAAGCAGCUUCAAGGCGGGCUUUCAAGGCUGGAGAGGAAGCCAUUACACUUUUAAAAACUGAUGAAUACUGAGGCCCAAUCUGCAUGAGAUUUUGCAAAGCAAAGUCAUGUAGAUUUCUCAUUAUGGAAGUUGCUGAUCCCAGAGCAUUCUCAUCCAAAAGGAAGGAAAUGAGGAUGGGCAGAAGACAGGCCACCAGCUGAGAGCCUGGAAAGAACAUUCACCUUCUGCACUUCGUCUUUUCUCCUUCACAUGUUCUUGAGCUGCACAGAUAAUCUGCCUUACCACUUCAAGAGAAGCCAGCUGAAUGGAAGGUGAUUCUCGGGUCAAAAUUACUCGAUGUAGUACAUUCAACAACUCGAUACCCAAGUCCUAUCACAGAAAACAGGAAGCUGGGAGGCAAAUUCUGAAGGCAAAGUUAGGAGAGCAAAAUCCUGAAGCGCAGCAAGCCAGAGCCUACUUAAUGUGCCAAGAUCUGCGUGGACUAAGUCAAGCAGCCCGUCUGAUGAAAUCGACCCGUUUCCGACACACUCUUCUGAACAGAUGUGAUGGAGCCUGCUAACCAACUGGUGAACUGCUCUGGAUUCCCUAACUGCCAGCCAUCAGAAGCUGCCUUUGAAUCAUGAGAGGCUGCUUAAUGCACCAGUCAAAAAAACACCAGU
Molecule: long non-coding RNA, 1732 nt
Organism: Aethalodelphis obliquidens (Pacific white-sided dolphin)
Lineage: Eukaryota; Metazoa; Chordata; Mammalia; Artiodactyla; Delphinidae
Exons: 8
Source: RefSeq, a predicted model, not a curated record